This 253-nucleotide ribosomal RNA is filed under the name uncultured bacterium. RNAcentral describes it as "partial 16S ribosomal RNA". It matches the Rfam family "Bacterial small subunit ribosomal RNA", at positions 524 to 776 of the family's 1533-position model. The record is from RNAcentral.
UACGAAGGGCGCGAGCGUUGUUCGGAUUUACUGGGCGUAAAGGGCGCGCAGGCGGCCAUCCAAGUCAGGCGUGAAAGCCCCGGGCUUAACCUGGGAGGUGCGUCUGGGACUGGGUGGCUAGAGUUCGGGAGAGGAGAGUGGAAUUCCCAGUGUAGAGGUGAAAUUCGUAGAUAUUGGGAAGAACACCGGUGGCGAAGGCGGCUCUCUGGACCGAGACUGACGCUGAGGCGCGAAAGCGUGGGGAGCAAACAGG